Ciona intestinalis (vase tunicate) is the source of this 536-nucleotide non-coding RNA. Lineage: Eukaryota; Metazoa; Chordata; Ascidiacea; Phlebobranchia; Cionidae. The record is from RefSeq and is a predicted model, not a curated record.
CGCAACAGAAGAACCCACUUCAACAUGGUAUGUGACGUCACAGAGGAUCAAGCGGCCCAUGGAAUAAUGCAAGAAAGAAGAGAAGUCCGCGAAUAAAGCUGCCGAAGAAAAGUGCAAGACGAAGAACAAAGACGAAGACACCAUAAGGAUACACGGUUUGAGGUUUGAGUAUUAUAAGUAUGAGUUGUGUGUUGUAUGCGUGUCUUGUCUGCGCUGCUGUUUUCUUACUCUGCUGGACCUAAUGUUGCCAGCUAUUUUUAGUCAGUCACUACUAUAGUGCAUUUUGCAUGUCUAUGAAAUAUAUGCAAUAAAACUAUGGCGAUUAUCUUGCUGGAUCAGAUUUUGUUGCUGUACACUCUAUUGUGUACUUCGUCUACAAAGGUCGAACCCUUCAGCGAUUCUGUAUUGUCCUGAUCGCUUGGUGAGAACGCUAUGUUGGUACACAAAUACUCGAGUAAUAUUAACACGUAGUAUAAUAAGCGCACAUAACUAAAAUCCAUGAAUUUUCAUUUAAAUUAGUAAAAUAUAAGCUUCUC